Molecule: long non-coding RNA, 429 nt
Filed under: Cicer arietinum (chickpea)
Lineage: Eukaryota; Viridiplantae; Streptophyta; Magnoliopsida; Fabales; Fabaceae
Description: long non-coding RNA (CARI_LNC002190)
Source: RNAcentral
GAUGUUUCACAUUGCUCCUUUUUUCAAUAAUAACAAAAGAAAAUGUUUUUGUAAGAGGUGUCUUUAGGAUGUUAUAAAUUAAAGACACUAAUUUGAUUUCCUAACAUGUAGUUGUAGGACACUUGUUAAUAUCUGUUCGGAAAAAAAGUAAAAAAUUUCUGUUUAAUUUUAACUUAAAAUAUGCUUGUGGGAAAAUGAAGGCAAUUCCAUUCUUGUGUUUGUUGAGUGCAACCAUUAUAGAGAAAAAAACAGUAAACUUGUACUAUUGAAAAGCUUGCCAAAAUCACGAAUCUCGAUAUAUAUCAGCGUGCUACAAAUAUUUUCUGCGAGUGAGUUUGCGUUCACUUGUUAUCUAAUUGAAUAAAUUAAAUCACAAAAAUUUAUAGUCAAAAUCAUAUUUAGAUAUGUGUUCAUAUAACAGUUUAACAC